UGUAUCCAAAAUUGUAUGGAAAAAUGAGAGUUUAUUUCACAUGCUCAAAGAAAUUUUUUGUUCAAAAAUAAAUUAUUCUAUACAUAACUUUAAUAUAUUACUGUAUAUAAGUUUUCAUUGAAAUCGAAUCUUUAAUAAUAAUUCAAUUUCUUUACAAGAUAGUGUAAAAAAAUUUGUAUGCCUUGAAUAUAUAUUAAAUUACAAAUAAGACCUCGAAUUAUCAAACUAAUGGUAGUAAUAUCAGUAGUCUAAGUGCGUAAUAUAAUUUUUUAAAUAAUACAAUAAUUUAUAUUAUUACAUUUCAUGAAAUGUGUGUGUGUGUAGCUUUACUGUAUAUUACCUGUUUACAUAUACAUAUAUAUAUACGUAUACAUAUAUAUAUAUAUAUGCAUGCACAUAUAAGUAUAUAUAAAUAUAUAUGUCCGUUUCAAUCGGUUUUUUUAGCUUUUCCAUCUUUUUUCCUUCUUAUCUAUCAAAUUAUUUUUUUAAAUUGCUAGCACUAUAUUGCAUUUUCUUCUUUUUUUUUUUCAAUACUUCUAAAUGAUGGGGAUAGUGUUAAGGAAAAUAUCAUCAGAUUUAUAUUUAUUAUUUUCGCUCAUAAAUUUAUCUUCAAUUUUUUCUGACUCAUUCGUUCAAUUACAUAUCGCUUAUCAUAUUAUUUUCAAAUUUCUAUCAUUUUCAUUUUCUAAUUUCACCAUGCCAAUCUCUAUCAUUGCUUAGCAUUGAGUAUAUGUAAUAUGUAAAUAUAUAAAAAUAUAUUAGAUAGAUUAUAUAUUAGAUUAUCGUAUUAUUGUCUAAUAAGAAACGAUAACAUCCAACUUUAAAAUUUUCAAUACUGUGUAGUAAAAUUGUAGAUUCUAAAUUGUAUUGAGUUGUUGAAUUCAAAUAUAACCUAUUUCCAUCUAAAUUUUCAACUGUUAAAGUAUCAUUUCGAAAACUUUUGUAUCUGCAUCAUCCGUAGUUAGAUUAUCGAUACAACUUUUUACUUUUACAUGUAUAAGAGCUUUGAAAAUUAAUGACUUACCACUGCUAAAAUUAUGGUUUAUCUAUUAUCUAUUUCAUAAUAUAUCGCUGUCAUAAUACAUUUACAAAUAAAAAAGUAAAAAAGUAAUUGGAAAAAAAUAUCGAUUUGAUAUUCGCUCUUAUACAUUUAUUGUAUGAUUCUCUCAAAAAAUAUACUAAGAUCACAUCAAAAUAAACAUUAAAAUCAAAUUUGACAUAAAUAUACAAAUGUUUAUUAAGUUCUUAUUUAUUAUAUAAAUUUUCUUUAGAUUUUUUAAUUUGUUUUUGUAUUUAUUUUAUAUUGUUUUUGCUUUUUCAUACAACGAAAAUUUAAAUUGCUUUUAAUUAUUUAAUAAAUAAAUCUCAAUAUAUUGUAUAUAUUGUAUAUAAUAUAUUUUUGUAUAUUACUUUUGAAACUGUUUUAAAUGGAUUUUGUUCUAUAAUAACAUUUAAUUGUCUAUAUUACCAAUGUCUAUAUUAAUAUUAUUUAACUAUAUUACGUGGAAAUCGACAACGUGUAAAUAUUCGACAAUGUGGAAUUUAUAAUCUCGUCUAAUCUCGUGAUUUGUGUUAUAAAAACAAAUUCUAUGGUGCAGUAUUUAAAGAAUCUAGUUGAAAAAGAAAAUUCAUCAACUCCGAAGCACAUGUAACCUUAUUAGGAUUGCUUAAUUUUUUUCUGUAGAAGAUAAAAUCGAGAUAAAGGUCCGUGGAUUUGUUCAAUUGCUAUUAAUAAAUGGAACAAUUUGUAACGAUAUGACAACACUGGUUUCAUUAGAAUCCACUGCAUUGUGUUUUCUUGUGAAAAUGGUGAAGCAAGUUUUGACUCUAAUGUUCUUAAAUAUCGUGAAAAAAUUCAUCCAAUAUACCUGUCACUGCACACUGUUAACGUACACAGACACCCUUAAGAUGUUAUGGAAAAGCAGGAUUCCUUAUUAUUGCUGAUCUCUUCAGGAAAGAGAAACCUAUAUGAUUCUGCAAAAUGUGGUCUUUAUCUGAUCAUCAGAAUGUUGUUUAGAAUAUUCGAUAUGUUGAAAUAGUUGGAUGAAUCUGUACACAAGUGUCCUGCAAAAUUCCUUGAUAUUAGCACAAGAAAGAUAAGAUAUCGCCAUCUUUUGUGAAAUCAAGAUCACCAAAAAUAAAAAAAUUGCAAUCACUUUUAAAUAAUGCACGAAAUACAUUUUUAGAUGGAGAAAGUGAAACUAGAGUGAAAAGAAAAAGAGUCCCUUUUUGUAUUAGUAGUAUCUAUCUUACAGAAAGUUAUUGAUUAUAACCUGCUUUAUGGCAAUUUAUCAUUAUUUAAUAUAUUGAUGAAAUUUGUCUUUCAUUUUCUGUUUCCAUCCACGAGAAACUAAUUUAACAACUAAUCUAAGUAUCCUUUAAAUCCAUAGUAAUAGUGUGAUGAAAUUUGUCUUUCAUUUUCUGUUUCAAUUCACGAGAAACUAAUUUAACAAUUAAUCUAAGUAUCCUUUAAAUCCAUAGUAAUAGUGUAAUAAAAAGUAUUGAUAAUACACUCCAGAAACAAAUUCAAUUAUUAAGAAUAGAAUAAUUGUGUAUUAUUUGCGUUUAAUAUGAUUGAAAUUAUGAUUAUCUUUUUUUGUUUACUUUUGUUUCAUGAUAUAGUAUUGAUGUAAUGCAUCUUGGAAAUAUGUUUAUUAUAUUAAUUACUAGUGUGUAGUAAUAGCAGUUUGUAACAUGAUUUAUUAUUCAUUUUUCUUUUAACAUUUUCUGCUUAAACCUUAUAGUGGAAUUAAACACUAUCUUUUUAAGUAAUGAGAAAAAUUGUGGUAGAGAACUCUGACACGAUUUAUAGAUAUUUUUUUAUAGAUUUUAUUUAUAGCAUUGUUUAUCGUCAUUUCUUAUGUUUGAUAUAAUCAUAUGAUUGAAAUUCGAUUAUUUUAAAUUUUAAUUUUGCAGAAUUAGACAUCAUUUCUUAAGAUAUAUUAUAUUUUAAUGUAAAUAUUAAGAAUAUAAUAACAGUGAGAUAUCAUUAGUUUUUUAACUUUUUUUAACUUUUAACAUUAUUGGAAUAUUGGAAUAUUGGAAAUUUAAAUAUUGGAAUAGAAAAUAAAUAUUGUAACAUAUCAAAAGUUGAGAAUAAUAGCUAUCGUUCUAUGAGGAAUUGUUCUUUUUAUGGUUUCAUUUGAUAUGUACGAGAUAUUUUUAUCUUUAUCAAUCGAACGAAAUUGAAUUAUUGUCUUCAUAGUUAUAAAAAUUUUCUAAUGUAACAUUAUUAUAUUAAGAUUGAUAAAAUAAAAUACAACUUUAGAUUUUUAAAAGUAAAAAUAAA
This is a long non-coding RNA of Apis cerana (Asiatic honeybee), 3289 nucleotides long. RefSeq lists it as uncharacterized. NCBI's taxonomy places the organism in Eukaryota, Metazoa, Arthropoda, Insecta, Hymenoptera, Apidae. The record is from RefSeq and is a predicted model, not a curated record.